RNAcentral lists this ribosomal RNA (492 nucleotides) under uncultured bacterium. RNAcentral describes it as "partial 16S ribosomal RNA". It matches the Rfam family "Bacterial small subunit ribosomal RNA", at positions 29 to 507 of the family's 1533-position model. The record is from RNAcentral.
AGUGAACGCUGGCGGUAGGCCUAACACAUGCAAGUCGAACGGCAGCACAGUAAGAGCUUGCUCUUACGGGUGGCGAGUGGCGGACGGGUGAGGAAUACAUCGGAAUCUACUUUUUCGUGGGGGAUAACGUAGGGAAACUUACGCUAAUACCGCAUACGACCUACGGGUGAAAGCAGGGGAUCUUCGGACCUUGCGCGAUUGAAUGAGCCGAUGUCGGAUUAGCUAGUUGGCGGGGUAAAGGCCCACCAAGGCGACGAUCCGUAGCUGGUCUGAGAGGAUGAUCAGCCACACUGGAACUGAGACACGGUCCAGACUCCUACGGGAGGCAGCAGUGGGGACUAUUGGACACUGGGCGCAAGCCUGAUCCAGCCAUACCGCGUGGGUGAAGAAGGCCUUCGGGUUGUAAAGCCCUUUUGUUGGGAAAGAAAAGCAGCAGGUUAAUACCCCGCUGUUCUGACGGUACCCAAAGAAUAAGCACCGGCUAACUUCGUG